GUAGGGAAUCUUCCACAAUGGGCGCAAGCCUGAUGGAGCAACACCGCGUGAGUGAAGAAGGGUUUCGGCUCGUAAAGCUCUGUUGUUAAAGAAGAACACGUAUGAGAGUAACUGUUCAUACGUUGACGGUAUUUAACCAGAAAGUCACGGCUAACUACGUGCCAGCAGCCGCGGUAAUACGUGGGUGGCAAGCGUUAUCCGGAUUUAUUGGGCGUAAAGAGAGUGCAGGCGGUUUUCUAAGUCUGAUGUGAAAGCCUUCGGCUUAACCGGAGAAGUGCAUCGGAAACUGGAUAACUUGAGUGCAGAAGAGGGUAGUGGAACUCCAUGUGUAGCGGUGGAAUGCGUAGAUAUAUGGAAGAACACCAGUGGCGAAGGCGGCUACCUGGUCUGCAACUGACGCUGAGACUCGAAAGCAUGGGUAGCGAACAGGAUUAGAUACCCGUGUAGUCC
This 450-nucleotide ribosomal RNA is filed under the name uncultured bacterium. RNAcentral describes it as "partial 16S ribosomal RNA". It matches the Rfam family "Bacterial small subunit ribosomal RNA", at positions 354 to 796 of the family's 1533-position model. The record is from RNAcentral.